GACGAACGCUGGCGGCGUGCCUAAUACAUGCAAGUAGAACGCUGAAGGAGGAGCUUGCUUCUCCGGAUGAGUUGCGAACGGGUGAGUAACGCGUAGGUAACCUGCCUUGUAGCGGGGGAUAACUAUUGGAAACGAUAGCUAAUACCGCAUAACAGUAGAUAUCGCAUGAUAUCUGCUUGAAAGUUGCAAUUGCAUCACUACCAGAUGGACCUGCGUUGUAUUAGCUAGUUGGUGAGGUAACGGCUCACCAAGGCGACGAUACAUAGCCGACCUGAGAGGGUGAUCGGCCACACUGGGACUGAGACACGGCCCAGACUCCUACGGGAGGCAGCAGUAGGGAAUCUUCGGCAAUGGACGGAAGGCUGACCGAGCAACGCCGCGUGAGUGAAGAAGGUUUUCGGAUCGUAAAGCUCUGUUGUAAGAGAAGAACGAGUGUGAGAGUGGAAAGUUCACACUGUGACGGUAUCUUACCAGAAAGGGACGGCUAACUACGUG
RNAcentral lists this ribosomal RNA (495 nucleotides) under uncultured bacterium. RNAcentral describes it as "partial 16S ribosomal RNA". It matches the Rfam family "Bacterial small subunit ribosomal RNA", at positions 28 to 507 of the family's 1533-position model. The record is from RNAcentral.